GCACUUUCAACUUAAGGGCUUGCUGAUGAACGACCAGGACUUCGGGGUGAUUAGCCCCAACCCUCCACCAAAUGACUGUGUUUGCUUCCUUUCAUAUUUUGACCCCGUGCUUUUUGGCUAAAGUAUAAAAGAAGAGAAAUCUGAAAUGUGUUCUCAAACGUUCAAAGCUCCAAUUGCUGCAGAAGAGAAUUUAAAACAAACCCCCCUUGGACUCUCGGCAGGAGUGGACAGCAGUAUCUCUGCUUAGAAGUCUGCAGGUGAAGGACAGGCUGAGCCAGAGGAAAUCUGUUUCUCAUUAGAAUUCUUGGCGGAGCAUUUUCAGGCUCAUCUGGAAAAGAGAUGAGGAGAAGGGCUGCCAGUGAGAUGGGGAAAAUCAAUAACAACAGCAAUGAAAAUACAAAACCAAACCAAAGCUGAGGCCCAGAGAGAAGAGGUGAACUUACACAGUUUCACAGCCACUGGGAGUCGGAGCUGAGAUGAGGAAUCUGAUUCCUGUCUCCCACAGUGUGCUGGAAAUCAGAGCACCCCCCAGACCUCACCACGUUCUCUUUCCUGGAUGUGCCAGGUCCUAGGGUAAAUGCUGCUUCCGCCCAGAAACCCUCCCCGACCCAAACCCACCCUCAAGUCAGGCCUCCCUGUUGGCGCUCUAUGCACGUUUUCUUUGUGGCACUUACCUGAUUUUAAUCAAGCUUUGUGUAAUUAUUUGCUUAAAGCUCCCUCUCCAGCAAGACUGUAAGCCCCCUGAGACAGAAACUGUGUCCUGUCUUGUUCAUCAUUGUAUCUACACCACACUGCACAGUGUCUAGUCCAUGAUGGGCCCAAAAAAAAUAUAUUGUGAAAUAAAUGAACAAAUGAAUGAAAAAUUGCCCAAUGCAGUGGUGAAGGCUGAACAUACACCAGCUUCCUUACUUCCUUGGUGAGUUAGCCAGUAAGGGAUUUCCCAAGGAAAUUUCUACAGAUUCUGUUGUUUCUCAUUGACAUUGGUGUUUUUUUUUUUUUUUUUUUUUUUUUUUUUUGAGACAGAGUCUCGUUCUAUCUCCCAGCUCCCAGACUGGAGUGCAGUGGCGCAAUCUCGGCUCACUGCAAGCUCCGCCUCCCGGGUUCAUGCCAUUCUCCUGCCUCAGUCUCCCAAGUAGCUGGGACCACAGGCGCCCACCACCACGCCCAGCUAAUUUUUUGUAUUUUUAGUAGAGAUGGGGUUUCACCAUGUUAGCCAGGAUGGUCUCGAUCUCACGAUCUCAUGAUCCACCCGCCUUGGCCUCCCAAAGUGCUGGGAUUACAGGCGUGAGCCACCACACCCGGCCUCAUUGACGUUGUAUAAAAACCUUUCGCUAAACAUUGAGAAACUUCCUAAGGAGUGAGAGACUGAACGACUGUGAAUUGUGCAGGAUUUCUGCUUUUUGCUGGCCUAAGAACAUAAGGGAUGAAUAGACCAGGAGUGCCAGCAGAAGUUAGUCUAUGUCCUGUGGGUGAUGUCCUGCUCCCUGUUCCAGCUAUGUGUUCUAGGGUAUCAUCACUGCUUCCUGGGUGAGUGCAUGAGGGCAUGAUUCAGUCUGAGUAAUGGGCUAGUUCUUCCUGGCCUUGCCACCAGCCCUGUAGCCUGGGAGAGCACCAAUCAAAAGAUGGUUGUGGCACAUAUCAUCCAGUUCAUAUGGGGAAACUGAGGCAAGUGGAGAGGACUGUUCUGGUAGUGGCAGAGCUGGAACGAGAAUCCAGGGCUCCUGCCUCUUUGUCUGCUCUUCUCCCCAGCACUGUUCAAUCAAUCAGCCCUUGGCAUGUGCUCAGUGCUGUCUAUUCUAUUAGGUUGGUGCAAACACAAUUACAGUUUUCACUGUUAUUUUAAAUGGCAAAAACCGCAAUUACCCACCUAAUAGGUUCUGAAAUGGAUGUAAAAAGUCUUGAAAAUUAAGCAC
RNAcentral lists this long non-coding RNA (1913 nucleotides) under Homo sapiens (human). RNAcentral describes it as "HSALNT0381699". Lineage: Eukaryota; Metazoa; Chordata; Mammalia; Primates; Hominidae. The record is from RNAcentral.